CGCGAAGAACCUUACCUGGUCUUGACAUCCACAGAACUUUCCAGAGAUGGAUUGGUGCCUUCGGGAACUGUGAGACAGGUGCUGCAUGGCUGUCGUCAGCUCGUGUUGUGAAAUGUUGGGUUAAGUCCCGCAACGAGCGCAACCCUUAUCCUUUGUUGCCAGCGGUCCGGCCGGGAACUCAAAGGAGACUGCCAGUGAUAAACUGGAGGAAGGUGGGGAUGACGUCAAGUCAUCAUGGCCCUUACGACCAGGGCUACACACGUGCUACAAUGGCGCAUACAAAGAGAAGCGACCUCGCGGGAGCAAGCGGACCUCAUAAAGUGCGUCGUAGUCCGGAUUGGAGUCUGCAACUCGACUCCAUGAAGUCGGAAUCGCUAGUAAUCGUGGAUCAGAAUGCCACGGUGAAUACGUUCCCGGGUCUUGUACACACC
RNAcentral lists this ribosomal RNA (431 nucleotides) under uncultured bacterium. RNAcentral's name for it is "bacterial SSU rRNA". It matches the Rfam family "Bacterial small subunit ribosomal RNA", at positions 960 to 1391 of the family's 1533-position model. The record is from RNAcentral.